GAAGGAGGCAAUCGAUCGCUCAGCCAUUAUAGCCAAGUUCCUCUGCUUGCUUCACGUUACCAACAACUAUCUUUGUUCUCCCACUCUCGUGUAUGGCCCUAGCAUGCUCCCAACCUUGCAUCUGACCGGCGAUGUUCUUUUGGCCGAGCACGUGUCGCACCGAGUGGGCAGGGUUGGCCCUGGCGACGUUGUGCUGGUUCGCUCUCCUCUGAACCCGAGGAAGACGUUGACGAAGCGCAUUCUGGGCGUCGAGGGUGAUAAGGUCAAUUUCUU
Molecule: unclassified non-coding RNA, 273 nt
Filed under: Hevea brasiliensis (rubber tree)
Lineage: Eukaryota; Viridiplantae; Streptophyta; Magnoliopsida; Malpighiales; Euphorbiaceae
Source: RNAcentral